Molecule: ribosomal RNA, 356 nt
Filed under: uncultured Glomeraceae
Lineage: Eukaryota; Fungi; Glomeromycota; Glomeromycetes; Glomerales; Glomeraceae
Description: SSU rRNA
Rfam family: Eukaryotic small subunit ribosomal RNA
Source: RNAcentral
AGCAGCCGCGGUAAUUCCAGCUCCAAUAGCGUAUAUUAAAGUUGUUGCAGUUAAAAAGCUCGUAGUUGAAUUUCGGGGUCAGUAGGUUGGUCGUGCCACAGGUAUGAACUGGCCUCACUGAUUCCUCCUUCCUGAUGAACCGUAAUGCCAUUAAUUUGGUGUUGCGGGGAGACUGGACUGUUACUUUGAAAAAAUUAGGGUGUUUAAAGCAGGCUAACGCUUGAAUACAUUAGCAUGGAAUAAUGAAAUAGGACGUUCGGUCUUAUUUUGUUGGUUUCUAAGAUUGACGUAAUGAUUAAUAGGGAUAGUUGGGGGCAUUAGUAUUCAAUUGUCAGAGGUGAAAUUCUUGGAUUUAU